UCUUCUUCUUCUUCUUCUCCUCUCUGGCUUAGCCUAAGGAUUCUAGUAAGUAUUUCAAACUCCUAAAGUCUUAGUUUUAUCUAGAAAUCAAUGUUGUAUCGCAAUAGAUUGUGCCCUAGAAAGCUUUGUACACUUACCAGAAACCUCAGCUCUAGGAUUCCAUUGCAUGCUUUCAAUGUACAAAACUCUAAUUGCUCGACAAAUUUAGUAAUUGACACUUGUGUUAAGUUCAAUUUCCAGAGCUCUAUUUUAGGUCUCAAUUUGAUUUCCUCAAAUUUUUACCUAUCCAAAAAUCCCAAUUUUUUCGUUCAUUCUAAUUACGUUACCAACCUAGUCUACGGUAAAGAUCCCAUCUUUGUGAGAAAUUACUGUUCUGGGAAGAACACUGAAGGUGGGUCUGCUCAGUGGACUGAGGAUAUAGAGUAUUUGGAUGAAUCGGGUAGUGUGAUUUAUAGUGGCAAAGGUAUAAGGUUAGUUGAGCCAGGGCUUGAUGACCAUCUGAUGAUCGGUGAGCUGAAGAAGCCAUUUUUGAAUGUCGCUGCAGUUGCAAAGAUUGUUGAGUUUGUGAAGAGGUGGAAAUGGGGGCCAGAAUUGGAGACCCAAUUGGACAAGCUACAAUUUGUUCCAAACAUGACUCAUAUAGUUCAAGCUUUGAAAAUUAUCAAUGAUACUGAUGGCUUAUUGAGUUUGUAUAAAUGGGCCAGGAGGCAACCUUGGUAUGUGCCGAAUGAUGAAUGUUAUUUGUUGUUAUUUGAUGGGUUGAAUCAAAGUAGAGAUUUUAAUGGGAUUCAGUCUUUGUUUGAUGAGAUGGUUCAAGAUUCAAUUAAGGGUGGGAUGUCCUCAUUUUGUGCACAUAAUAGGGUGAUUCAAUGUCUAGCUAAAGCAGAGAAGUUGGAGCUAUCGUUUUGUUGUUUCAAGAAGGUUCAGGAAUCCGGCUGUAAAAUUGACACAGAAACGUAUAAUGCACUUAUAACCUUGUUUUUGAAUAAGGGCUUGCCGUACAAAUCAUUUGAGAUAUAUGAGAGCAUGGAAGCUGCACAAUGUUCAUUGGAUGGCUCAACAUAUGAGUUAAUGAUACCAAGCUUAGCGAAAUCAGGUCGUCUUGAUGUGGCAUUUAAGCUUUUCCAAGAGAUGAAAGGAAGGAAUUUUCGGCCAAGCUUUGGUAUUUUUUCCUCGCUUGUUGACUCAAUGGGGAAAGCAGGAAGGUUGGACACAUCUAUGAAGGUUUACAUGGAAAUGCAGGGCUUUGGGCAUAGGCCAUCUGCAAUUAUGUAUGUGUCUUUGAUUGAGUCAUAUACGAAGGCUGGGAAAUUAGAUGCUGCUCUUAGGCUAUGGGAUGAGAUGAAGAAAUCCGGUUUUAGGCCCAACUAUGGUUUGUAUACAAUGAUUAUUGAAUCCCAUGCUAAAUCAGGGAAGCUUGAUAUUGCAAUGUCUAUCUUUAAUGAUAUGGAGAAGGCUGGAUUUCUACCCACCCCAUCUACCUAUUCAUGUCUUCUUGAAAUGCAUGCUGCCUCUGGACAAGUAGAUUCUGCAAUGAAGCUGUAUAACUCGAUGACUAAUGCAGGUCUAAGACCAGGCUUAAGUACGUACACUUCCCUUUUGACUCUCCUAGCUAGUAAGAAGCUUGUGGAUGUGGCUGCCAAAAUUUUACUUGAAAUGAAGACGUUGGGAUAUUCUGUUGAUGUCAGUGCAAGUGAUGUUUUAAUGGUGUACAUUAAGGAUGGUUCUGUUGACCUUGCCCUGAGGUGGCUACGUUUCAUGGGUUCAUCAGGGAUAAGAACGAAUAAUUUUAUAAUCAGGCAGUUGUUUGAGUCUUGCAUGAAGAAUGGUUUAUAUGAAUCAGCAAAGCCUCUUCUUGAGACCUACGUGAACUCUGCUGCUAAAGUGGAUCUUAUACUUUAUACAUCAAUUCUUGCUCAUCUUGUCCGAUGCCAAGAAGAGCAGAAUGAGAGGCAUUUGAUGUCAAUCCUUAGUGCUACAAGACAUAAAGCACACACUUUUAUGUGUGGGCUAUUCACUGGUCCAGAACAGAGAAAACAACCAGUUUUAUCCUUUGUGAGGGAGUUUUUUCAAGGCCUUGAUUAUGAGUUGGAGGAGGGUGCUGCGAGGUACUUUGUAAAUGUUUUGCUCAAUUACCUUGUUCUUAUGGGGCAAAUAAAUCGUGCUCGAUGUGUUUGGAAAGUUGCUUAUGAGAACAAGCUAUUUCCAAAGGCUAUAGUGUUCGACCAGCAUAUUGCUUGGUCUCUAGAUGUUAGGAACUUGUCAGUGGGAGCUGCUCUUAUAGCAGUUGUGCACACUCUCCACAGGUUCAGAAAGCGAAUGUUGUACUAUGGUGUGAUUCCAAGACGCAUCAAAUUGGUUACAGGACCCACUCUGAAGAUUGUGGUUGCUCAGACGUUGAGCUCAGUAGAAUCUCCAUUUGAGGUUAGCAAGGUGGUUCUAAGAGCCCCAGGGGAUUCUGUCAUGGAAUGGUUCAAGAAGCCUAUUGUGCAGCAGUUUCUUCUGAAUGAGAUUCCUUCGAGAGCUGACAUACUCAUGCACAAGCUGAACACUCUAUUUCCUAGUUCUGCACCUGAAAUUAGAUCACUGUCUCCUCCAAAACCACUCAUUUCAGGGAAGGCUAUGUAAUUAUUUGUGAUAGUGGGGAUCAGCUACAGGUGUACUUGUAGUAGAGGAAUGGAUUCCAAUUUAUUGGUAUCCAAAACAGGUUAAUUAUUUAUGAUCCCUGAAUUGUAUGAAUAUUGGCUAGAGAAAGAAAACUAAUUAAUUGAAUAUCUUUAUC
This 2782-nucleotide unclassified non-coding RNA is filed under the name Hevea brasiliensis (rubber tree). The record is from RNAcentral. Lineage: Eukaryota; Viridiplantae; Streptophyta; Magnoliopsida; Malpighiales; Euphorbiaceae.